GUGCUACUCACUUUGGCAGCACAUGUACUAAAGUUGGAAGGAUACAAAGAAGAUUAGCAUGGCCCCUGUGCAAAGAUGACAUGCAAAUUCGUGAAGCAUUCUAAAUAUAA
Small nuclear RNA from Capra hircus (goat), 110 nucleotides. The record is from Ensembl. Lineage: Eukaryota; Metazoa; Chordata; Mammalia; Artiodactyla; Bovidae.